GGAUUAAUGUAUGUACAUGUAAUACAUCCCAUACAAUAUGAAAUGAAUUUUGUCAAUAUUUAAUUUCCAUGCCCAUUGUAUCAAUCUUGAGUGAUGAUAGUUCAUCAUUACUUUUAGUAAUAGAUUUCAAUGUGGAACCAUACAACUGGAUGUUAUGAAAACAUAUAUAGGUAUUUGUAGAAUACAUGAGUGCAUCUAUGAUUAAUAAUUGAAUACUCAUAAGUAGAGAAUAUAUCUCCC
Molecule: long non-coding RNA, 240 nt
Filed under: Setaria viridis
Lineage: Eukaryota; Viridiplantae; Streptophyta; Magnoliopsida; Poales; Poaceae
Description: long non-coding RNA (SVIR_LNC002043)
Source: RNAcentral